This 245-nucleotide ribosomal RNA is filed under the name uncultured bacterium. Its description in RNAcentral is "partial 16S ribosomal RNA". It matches the Rfam family "Bacterial small subunit ribosomal RNA", at positions 528 to 772 of the family's 1533-position model. The record is from RNAcentral.
UAGGGAGCGAGCGUUGUCCGGAAUUACUGGGUGUAAAGGGAGCGUAGGCGGGAUGGUAAGUCAGAUGUGAAAUGCAGGAGCUCAACUCCUGAGCUGCAUUUGAAACUGCUGUUCUUGAGUGAGGUAGAGGUAAGCGGAAUUCCUGGUGUAGCGGCGAAAUGCGUAGAGAUCAGGAGGAACAUCGGUGGCGAAGGCGGCUUACUGGGCCUUUACUGACGCUGAGGCUCGAAAGCGUGGGGAGCAAA